Molecule: ribosomal RNA, 590 nt
Filed under: Streptomyces sp. SCAUEA19
Lineage: Bacteria; Bacillati; Actinomycetota; Actinomycetes; Kitasatosporales; Streptomycetaceae
Description: bacterial SSU rRNA
Rfam family: Bacterial small subunit ribosomal RNA
Source: RNAcentral
GUGAGUAACACGUGGGCAAUCUGCCCUGCACUCUGGGACAAGCCCUGGAAACGGGGUCUAAUACCGGAUACUGAUCGCCUUGGGCAUCCUUGGUGAUCGAAAGCUCCGGCGGUGCAGGAUGAGCCCGCGGCCUAUCAGCUUGUUGGUGAGGUAAUGGCUCACCAAGGCGACGACGGGUAGCCGGCCUGAGAGGGCGACCGGCCACACUGGGACUGAGACACGGCCCAGACUCCUACGGGAGGCAGCAGUGGGGAAUAUUGCACAAUGGGCGAAAGCCUGAUGCAGCGACGCCGCGUGAGGGAUGACGGCCUUCGGGUUGUAAACCUCUUUCAGCAGGGAAGAAGCGAAAGUGACGGUACCUGCAGAAGAAGCGCCGGCUAACUACGUGCCAGCAGCCGCGGUAAUACGUAGGGCGCGAGCGUUGUCCGGAAUUAUUGGGCGUAAAGAGCUCGUAGGCGGCUUGUCGCGUCGGUUGUGAAAGCCCGGGGCUUAACCCCGGGUCUGCAGUCGAUACGGGCAGGCUAGAGUUCGGUAGGGGAGAUCGGAAUUCCUGGUGUAGCGGUGAAAUGCGCAGAUAUCAGGAGGAACAC